AACCUCCGCAAUGUGAGAAAUCGCGACGGGGGGAUCCCAAGUGCCAUUCUUAACGGGAUGGCUUUUCAUUAGUGUAAAAAGCUUUUGGAAUAAGAGCUGGGCAAGACCGGUGCCAGCCGCCGCGGUAACACCGGCAGCUCUAGUGGUAGCAAUUUUUAUUGGGCCUAAAGCGUCCGUAGCCGGUUUAAUAAGUCUCUGGUGAAAUCCUGUAGCUUAACUGUGGGAAUUGCUGGAGAUACUAUUAGACUUGAGACCGGGAGAGGUUAGAGGUACUCCCAGGGUAGAGGUGAAAUUCUGUAAUCCUGGGAGGACCGCCUGUUGCGAAGGCGUCUAACUGGAACGGUUCUGACGGUGAGGGACGAAAGUUAGGGGCGCGAACCGGAUUAGAUACCCGGGUAGUCCUAACUGUAAACGAUGCGGACUUGGUGUUGGGGUGGCUUUGAGCUGCUCCAGUGCCGAAGGGAAGCUGUUAAGUCCGCCGCCUGGGAAGUACGGUCGCAAGACUGAAACUUAAAGGGAUU
This 521-nucleotide ribosomal RNA is filed under the name uncultured bacterium. Its description in RNAcentral is "bacterial SSU rRNA". It matches the Rfam family "Archaeal small subunit ribosomal RNA", at positions 345 to 866 of the family's 1478-position model. The record is from RNAcentral.